This is a long non-coding RNA of Gadus macrocephalus (Pacific cod), 282 nucleotides long. RefSeq lists it as uncharacterized. NCBI's taxonomy places the organism in Eukaryota, Metazoa, Chordata, Actinopteri, Gadiformes, Gadidae. The transcript is spliced from 3 exons. The record is from RefSeq and is a predicted model, not a curated record.
GUGCAUCCCUCUAACGUGUAGGGCAAACACGGAUCUGAACUGGAAAUCGAACAGCUUUAACAUUUCACCAGGGUCAAGUUUUUAUAACGUAUGCAGACAUGUCCCUGUUGAAGGCUUGGCUGAAGCCUACUGCUAUUUCACGGACCUCGGUGGUGCGCUGUGGGAGGCAGAAAUAUGAGAGAGUUUAUCCUGUCCUGUUGGUCCGACCUGAUGGAUCAACUAUUAAUAUCAGAUACAAAGAACCAAGGAAAAUUCUAAUGAUGCCUGUGGAUCUUUCCACUC